This 445-nucleotide ribosomal RNA is filed under the name uncultured bacterium. Its description in RNAcentral is "bacterial SSU rRNA". It matches the Rfam family "Bacterial small subunit ribosomal RNA", at positions 330 to 792 of the family's 1533-position model. The record is from RNAcentral.
UCCAGACUCCUACGGGAGGCAGCAGUGGGGGAUAUUGCACAAUGGGGGAAACCCUGAUGCAGCGACGCCGCGUGGGUGAAGAAGCGCCUCGGCGCGUAAAGCCCUGUCAGCAGGGAAGAAAAUGACGGUACCUGAAGAAGAAGCCCCGGCUAACUACGUGCCAGCAGCCGCGGUAAUACGUAGGGGGCAAGCGUUAUCCGGAUUCACUGGGUGUAAAGGGAGCGUAGACGGCGACGCAAGUCUGGAGUGAAAGGCCGGGGCCCAACCCCGGGACUGCUCUGGAAACUGCGUCGCUGGAGUGCGGGAGGGGCAGGCGGAAUUCCUGGUGUAGCGGUGAAAUGCGUAGAUAUCAGGAGGAACACCGGCGGCGAAGGCGGCCUGCUGGACCGUGACUGACGUUGAGGCUCGAGAGCGUGGGGAGCAAACAGGAUUAGAUCCCCCAGUA